AAACUUUCAACAACGGAUCUCUUGGCUCUCGCGUCGAUGAAGAACGCAGCGAAAUGCGAUACGUAGUGUGAAUUGCAGAUUCCGUGAAUCAUCGAAUCUUUGAACGCAAAUUGUACUUUCCAGUAAUCUGGGAAGUAUGCUUGGUUGAGGGUCAUUA
RNAcentral lists this ribosomal RNA (157 nucleotides) under Diversispora versiformis. RNAcentral's name for it is "5.8S ribosomal RNA". It matches the Rfam family "5.8S ribosomal RNA". From Rfam's summary of the family: 5.8S ribosomal RNA (5.8S rRNA) is a component of the large subunit of the eukaryotic ribosome. It is transcribed by RNA polymerase I as part of the 45S precursor that also contains 18S and 28S rRNA. Functionally, it is thought that 5.8S rRNA may be involved in ribosome translocation. The record is from RNAcentral. Lineage: Eukaryota; Fungi; Glomeromycota; Glomeromycetes; Diversisporales; Diversisporaceae.